RNAcentral lists this ribosomal RNA (420 nucleotides) under uncultured Planctomycetaceae bacterium. Its description in RNAcentral is "partial 16S ribosomal RNA". It matches the Rfam family "Bacterial small subunit ribosomal RNA", at positions 355 to 774 of the family's 1533-position model. The record is from RNAcentral. Lineage: Bacteria; Pseudomonadati; Planctomycetota; Planctomycetia; Planctomycetales; Planctomycetaceae.
UCGAGGAUUUUUGGCAAUGAGCGCAAGCUUGACCAAGCGAUGCCGCGUGCGGGAUGAAGGCCUUCGGGUUGUAAACCGCUGUCAGUGUGGAGGAAAAUUUGGUGUAUAGCCAAGUUUGACUAAUACGCAGAGGAAGUGAGGGCUAAACUCGUGCCAGCAGCCGCGGUAAGACGAGUCUCACGAACGUUAUUCGGAAUUACUGGGCUUAAAGGGUGCGUAGGCGGUGGAGUAAGUCGGAUGUGAAAUACCAUAGCUUAACUAUGGAACUGCACUCGAUACUACUUUGCUUGAGUAAGACAGAGGUGAGUGGAACUGAGGGUGGAGCGGUGAAAUGCGUUGAUAUCCUCAGGAACACCGGUGGCGAAGGCGACUCACUGGGUCUUUACUGACGCUGAUGCACGAAAGCUAGGGUAGCAAACG